This is a long non-coding RNA of Neodiprion virginianus, 160 nucleotides long. RefSeq lists it as uncharacterized. Lineage: Eukaryota; Metazoa; Arthropoda; Insecta; Hymenoptera; Diprionidae. The record is from RefSeq and is a predicted model, not a curated record. The transcript has 3 exons.
UUUUAACAGCCAGGCACUCCUAAAGCGUGUAACGUCCCUUAGAUACAGUAGAAGAUCAGCAGUGAACGCUCGUGAAAGCAUUUGUCAAGUCAAUUUGUCAAUGUGUAUAAAAUUGAACUCGCAUAUUGUUUCGGAUUGAAAAAAAGAGAUCGGAUGAGCA